This 207-nucleotide long non-coding RNA is filed under the name Pan troglodytes (chimpanzee). RNAcentral's name for it is "long non-coding RNA NONPTRT007667". Lineage: Eukaryota; Metazoa; Chordata; Mammalia; Primates; Hominidae. The record is from RNAcentral.
CAACUUAAUGGUAAGAAACUGGAAGCUUUCCCACUAUAGUCAGGAACAAGGCAAGGAUGUCCCCUCUUAUCACUGCUUUUCAACAUCAUACUGGAAGUUCUAGCUAACGCAAUAAUACGAGGAAAGGAAAUAAAAGGUGUACAGAGUAGGAAGGAAGAAAUAAAACUAUCUUUGUUUGAAGAUGACAUGAUUGUCUAUGUAGAAAAC